CGUGCGCAAGGCGGUUAUGUAAGACAGAUGUGAAAUCCCCGGGCUCCCCUGGGAACUGCAUUUGUGACUGCAUGGCUAGAGUACGGUAGAGGGGGAUGGAAUUCCGCGUGUAGCAGUGAAAUGCGUAGAUAUGCGGAGGAACACCGAUGGCGAAGGCAAUCCCCUGGACCUGUACUGACGCUCAUGCACGAAAGCGUGGGGAGCAAACAGGAUUAGAUACCCUGGUAGUCCACGCCCUAAACGAUGUCAACUGGUUGUUGGGAAUUAGUUUUCUCAGUAACGAAGCUAACGCGUGAAGUUGACCGCCUGGGGAGUACGGCCGCAAGGUUGAAACUCAAAUAAAUUGACGGGA
Molecule: ribosomal RNA, 352 nt
Filed under: Delftia tsuruhatensis
Lineage: Bacteria; Pseudomonadati; Pseudomonadota; Betaproteobacteria; Burkholderiales; Comamonadaceae
Description: bacterial SSU rRNA
Rfam family: Bacterial small subunit ribosomal RNA
Source: RNAcentral